UCUCUGCCUGUCCGGAUCUGCCACGGCGCCUCAACAUUGGCUUUGGAAGCUGCAGAUUGUCUUCCUGGGGGUCUAACCUUGGCACCCAGAGGAGAAUAUGCUUCAUGAGUAUGGUAGUUUUGGAGUAUGUUGGUUUUUAAGUCAUUUGCAGGACAAUGCAAAGAUGAGCUUGUUAUAUCUUCAUAUGACUGUGCACGUCUGACAGGCUUUAUAGAAAUAUCUAUAUAUACAUUUACAUUAUGUUAAAGCAGGAUUAUUUUCAUUUUAAACAACAGGUCUGUUUGCUCAUUAUUCACAUGACAUAUAUUCUACUGUAUAUAUUCCAUUAUUAUUAUUAUUGCCUUUAUUUCCCUGCACUGGGCUCCUUGAGCUCAGCGCUCGCGUGCACUUGGCUCACGGAGCUGCAUUUGUCAGUCAACUGAUUUCAGGCAAUUUGUCAAAUCCGCCGACAGGAAGAAGAACCCGGAGUUAAUCCUGAUAGUUCUGACAGGUCAUCCGUUCCAGUCUACAGUAUGGAGAACAUCGGUGUGUCUCAGCUUCUUUUGAGCCUGAUUCUCCCAAGUCGUCUUCCUGAAUGAACUGACUUCACUAAUCUGUGUGCUAAUGUCUGGUAAAUUACACUCUAAUGAAUAUUUGUGACAUCAGGUCAUUAGAUCCAGAUAAACUGCAGCGUCCUAUGUAUUGUAUGACUUCUUUGCCACAUCGCUCCAGGUCUUUUAACGGGCUCCAUGGGCUCACAUGCUGAUACAUGGCCCGGGGUCAGACUGCUUUAAUUGGGCAGCAGCACCUGUGGCAGCCAACAGGCAGGGGUUCCCUCGGAUGCACAGCUGAAACGCACUUCCUCCGACAAGCACCUAAAUAAGAGGUUGAGCCGCCCAAACACAGUGUGUCCGCCGAUGCUGAUUACAGUGAACACGCAUUCCAGCUGGAAGGCACCGCGCCGCGUCGCGUUUCUGCUCGCUGUUCAUCCUUUCACUGAGCCGCGACGUGACCCGACAGCGAAGGGCCCAGUGUUUGCUGCAGCUUGGUGCGUUGCCCAACUCUGCUAAAUAAUUACAAGGGUUGAAAUCCACCUGUGUGUGCUCAGACUGUGUUUGCUUAAACGUGCGUGUUUACAUGUGUUAAACAGGGUCUAAGCCCGUAACUCUAUCCACGUGAACCCGUGUGUGUGUGUGUGUGUGUGUCUGCACUGUAUGUGGAACGUGUAUGCAGCCCACAGGUACAGUAGUGUGUUCAGCACUGAAGAGAUAUUGACGACUGGCACACAAACUCUAAUUAUACUAAUGAUAAUAAUUAGAAGAAAUUAGAACAAAGUAUAUAACAUUUGGCUGCCAGGCAAUAUACACUAAUACUUAAAAAAAUGCUGCAGCCUCACAGACUUGCGACUGUGUGGACGACCGUGUGGUCCAGUAAACCGACAGCAUGAGGCCUUGUCUAAUGAGACUGGACCCUUAACUUACAGUAGGACAUUGGAUCCUGCUGUAAAUUGAACAUGACCUACUCAGAGCUACGUCUAAGUAUUUACUGUAUUGUACAAAGUUGCCUCAUGGUAAAAAUAAAAUAUGCUAAUGUACAAUUCACAAAAUUCUGCUAGAAAUGCAAAAAUCCCAUCUUUUCUUUUUCAGUCUGUUUCACUUCAAAUUGUCUUCUCAAGUUCUUAUCGCUGCUUCAUCUCCCUGUCAGACACUUCACUUUCAUCCACGACUGCAUUUGUCAGUCUGUAGCAAGAGGACAGAUUGAUCUAUUGUUUAUUUAGCCUGCUAGGACGCUGAUAUUAGAUCCCUUUACCAUACAUACCAGUAACGUCACACCCAAAGUUGCCAUCAAAUGGCUGCCCUCCAAAUGCACAAACUCAUAACUUAAAUCAACAAACUUAUAAACAGAAUGUACAAUGAACAUAAAGACACGGAACCCAAAGGAGUCUAAAAGUCAAGUCACAAACUUACAGAAUUCUAACAAGGUAACAGGAAAAAUUAACCAAGAUAAUCGUUAAACUAAGGAAGCUAAUAGAAGACUGAAACAAACUAAUAGCAAAACAGAGUCACAUGAAUAAAACAUAACAUAAUGAAACAAACAGAUAGCUGUAAAACAAACUAACUAACUCACAAGUAAAAACUAGACACCGGCGAACAAAAGAGGCCUAAUGAAGUCAACAAAGAACAGGCAACAUUUGAAAACAAGAUCAAACAUCAACUGCUGCGUCAAAACAAGCACGACUGUAUGAUGAGUCCUAAUAAAGUGACAAUGAGUCAAAACAGGAGACAGGAAAUGAAAUUAUGGCAGAAACAAAAAAGCAUGGAAACAUGCAUUUAAAGUUUGUGUGUGUGUGUGUGUGUGUGUGUGUGUGUGUGUGUGUGUGUGUGUGUGUGUGUGUGUGUGUGUGUGUGUGGUUCAUGGUCGGCCUACCACACCCAGAGGCCACUGUGAGUGUGGUUCACUGCCCAGCCGUCAAAAUCAACUCCAUAUUGUCCAGGUUUAGAUGUCUCACCUGUGGAAACAACCCUGGGCAGGACGUUUGCCAACAGCAGCUCAUUUCCAUCCGUGCACAUCGUGGGCACGGCCUCUGUUUAUGUCAGCUGUGAUUCCAGUUUACUCUGCUGUUAAACUUGAAAAAGCGGCAUCCAAACCUCGUCUUCUCCCAGGCUUUACUUUUCCGUCUCGGAGGUUUUGCCUACAAUUUGGAGGUUUGCCCACGUGACUGCGAUGAUUAUUUCUUUCCUCUGCCAGAAUUGGUACACAACUGGUUCCUUUAAGACAGCAGAAAGACCCAACUUGAGAGAAUUCUAGUAAACAGUUUUGGCAGGUUUGAUCCAAAACGCCUUCAAUGCCACAUUCUGACAGCAUCAUGCGCUGAGCUUUUCUGUUAAAGGAAAAAUCCCGGUGUAAAGCACCAGAUCCGGGCUGCCAACAUUAACAACGAGCUACACCGUGUUCCUUAACAUUAGCCAAGCGCCGACCCUCCUCGCUGCAGAGAGCAGGAGGCUCAGGCUGCUGUCACUUUGAAUGACUCCAUGAAUCGAGCCGGGCCUUUCAGAGAGCACUCUUUGGCUGUAAGCUGUUUUGACGUGAGCUCUAAUGCCUCUCGUGCGCUUGGCCAAAGGCUUUGGGUUCAGAACCCUGUUCAUAAGGGGGGAGGGUUGCCAGGUUUGGCAGCUCGCGGCCUGCAGAAGCUGGAGUGGUGCUUCUCAGCCUGGCCGAGAGUGAUUGGCUGCGGCGUGUGGCUCACGCGGGGCUGCUGCUCAUCUCCCGUCACUGCUCCAAGCUUCAGUCUGUCUGUCUGUCUGUCUGUCUGUCUGUCUGUCUGUCUGUCUGUCUGUCUGUCUGUCUGUCUGUCUGUCUGUCUGUCACUCAGUCCGUCUGCUGUCUGCCAGCCAGCACACGAAACACUACGGAAGGAUUAUUAGCUACGUACAGUAUGCUGAACUCUUCUCUACUUAGAACAAUCGAGACAAACUAAAAACUAAAUUCAAUAAUAAUUCAACAAUGAAUUGAAAUCAGAUGUGGCUAAAAAAUGACGUUUCACAGCCCUAAACCGCUUGAUCAGUGGAUGCGGACUAACAAUUUUUCGAAUGUGUGUGACCUAUAUUCCUAUUUAAAACCAUCUGUAUGCGCCUUUCUUGAAUCAAUGAUGACAUAACUUAAAUGAACUGCACUUCACAUUAUGUUUAUUUGCAUAUGUUUAAAGAAUCACUCGUGAUUUCCCAUCUGUAGCGUGUGUAGAUCCCUUAAACAGUGCUAUGACCUGAACAAUGGAUAAUGUAACUACUUAGAAUAUACUGAGUUGCAGAAACCACGCGAAGUCCUGUGAGCAGCGGCUGCACAGCUCUCUGCUGUGCUCUCCUCCAAGCGAAGCGGCCCUAGUGUGCAGCACACCACAACAAGGCCAGUCAGCUACCGCAAUGCGGUCCUGCCCCGACGGCAACUCCUGCAACAAAGUGCGAGAGAACGUUUCCUCUGGAUGUGACGUGAAGAUCACAGGAGGAACUGUGACAGAUAGAGCCGCCGCCGCUGCGUCGAUCACCCUGGGUGAAUGGGGAUCCCCAGGCCUCUCGUUUGGCUCCUGACGAUGUGGGGAGCGGCGGUGGGAGCCUCUGGACUGCCAGAGACAGGUGCAGGCCAAGAUAUGAGAGGCUCAUUAUGGCGCUGACGGAUAAGUUGCUCUCAGAGACUCGGGGCAGAGCCGCGCGGCCUCCGUGGCCGCUCCAGUGUCACUCUUCCUCUGGCCGUUUGUGUGAGGCUAACCGCUGGAGCAAAGGUGCUGUUGUGCCUUGUCACUGUGCACACGUUCAAAGCAGAGGAGAGAAAAGAUUCAAUGACCAGAGCGACUUCCCGGCGCAAAUGUGUCAUCGAGAGCUUUUCAGAUUGUUCACAAACACGGCCGCAAUCUAAGCAGCAGGCCGGCGUUCACAUGAAACCGUAUUCACGCGGGGGGAAGAAAAGCGCAGCACACGCCCCAGAAAGCGGACGCUGACUCACGAAGGCAAAAUAAAACCACGCGCUGGGACUGUGAGAAAGGUUUGCAUCAAAAGCACGAUUGAUGUGCAACUGGCUAAAAUGUUGCUCAUUUGUCUCAGAACAAACAAAACAAUAGCAAUAACGCAAUGUAAAUGAAAAUGAGUGAGGACCUGGAUCUACUGUAGAUCUACUGUGGAAUCCAGAUGCUAACAAUAUGUAUUCACCUCAGUAAGUAACUGAGAGCAACAGCCUUUCUGGGAUCUGGACUUCACUAACUUAGGAGCCAGGGUUGAGCGAGUGGUGGGACGUUGACCCCUGACCUGAGGAAGUCAUUUAGAUAGUGAAGCCCACUGAAUCCUCCUUCCUUUGAGCAUCUCUUGUCGUUUAGUUGUGGAUUAUUGCUUGGAAGACUUCAUAGUUCCACUGCAAUGUCCAAACAAUUCAAUAAAGACAAUAAUAAAACAAAAUGAACAGUGACCCUUCGGUGCACGUGUUCUGGCACCCGGAAAGAGAGAGAGGCGGUUGUUUGGUUUGAGUUUGGUUUGUAGUUCUUGGUGCCGAGUCGCGGGCUCACGCCGACACGACUCGGUUUUGCAUCCCGUUGUACAGCGUAUUUUUUCAGGGGCUGUAAAACCGGGCUCUGACUAAUAUUAUGACAGGCGUCCUAUUGGAGCGUGUUGUUGUGAGAGGCCAGAGCAGCAGACGAUGCCAGCCUCCCAUGGCCUGGUCCUGGAUUCCUCAGAUAUGGUUUUUCCACUGUGCCAUCGGACCGUGACACACGCUGACGACCACAGUGUGGCAUGUUUUUCUGAUCGGUUUGGUUCGGAUGAAGCAAGAAUUGAUAACAUCGCCAUGAAUAACUUCAUACAGAGACAUAGUAACUAAAGGUUAUAACAAUCCCAAAUACUCUGUUUAUUAAAGGCUAAAAUGAGAGGAUUAAUGUUUGCAGCAGCUGUGAUAAAGCUCUGGAGGCAUGAAUCACACAAUAUACUAAGACACAACAGUCACACUUUCAGGAAUCUGCUGAUCACUGCAAUAGACUUGGAUCAGCACUGAAGAUCCCAUAGCUUCAGGUAAAGUCAACAACUUGUUAACUCCCAGAUAUUCCAGUUUUUGGUAGAACCGUCCUUUGAAACUGGCCCCUGGUGUAUUCUUGACAGACAACCACAUAGAUUUUUUAGUUAUUUUUCAAAUCAAGCCUUCAGUUGAUAAAAAAGUCAAGGUAUAUAUUAAGUAUAUAUACUGGAAGUCGUAUAUGCGAAGGUUUUCCUGCCCAGACCUCGAGAAGGGAUGAAAGACUGAAAGCUGAAGUGCAAAGCUAACGUCUCUCUUUGAUGGACCACUUUGGGACUCGUGAGCGUGCUACAGUCUGAGGGAAGGAGUAGACAUUGUUAUGAAGUGCCAGUCCCAUUGUAAGUGGAUACACUGAGCUCGGAGGUUAUUUUAGGGUUCACAGUCACAUCUAAGGGCCUCAAGCAUCUCUGUUUUUUCUUCUGCCGUGUCUGACGGACGACACUGAAGAAUCUAUUUAAGAUCAAAGCCCGGAGAUCAAACACGCUGCAUCCAUAGGAGAAGGAGCGCAGUCACAUGAAUCUCAAUCACCGUCUGUCCCUUAGACCUGCAGUCCCGGAGAAGUGUCUGAGUUCUAUUAGUGGCCGGCACAACAGGUACUGCAAAGGCUCCACUGAGCGUUCCCAUGGUGAUUUAUCUGCAGCGUCAGCCACGCACAGACUGAGGCUGUCCCCAACGCCGAGGCCACGGCAGGAGCCUACGAGCCAGAGGUGCUGCCGUAGGAUGAAAGGACGAUUAGUUAUGAAUGGGCUUCAUCUCAGAGCACCGAAGGUCAGCUUCACAAAUGUUUUCUCCCUUUUUCCAAAUCAUUAAGCCCAAGGCAUCUUUUGGUAUGCGCCGAACACAAAGUCUUAAACCACCAGGCAGAAAUGUUUAAAGGUCCUCUGAGACUUCGCCUUUAGCAGAAUCCUGAGAAAGCGGGGGGCUAUGUGUCAUUUUAAAUGGAGUGGACAUAAAAGUGACUGCUCCAUCGGCUCGGAGUCUUAAAUUUGGAGAAAUGCAUGUCACCAGCCAAUGAGGCUUGAUUUCGCUCUCGGUUCUGGGCUUUGGUUCACUAAAGGAGUGAACAUGUAGGGACUGCAUGUCCUGACAAAGCACGCAACAUUUAACAUAAGUUAGAUGCUAGUUUGUUUUACAUGUGCAGCGAAUUAUCUUAAUCUGGAACCAACACUGUCUAAUUAUUAUUUGUAAAAAACAAACAGGAAAAAAGCAUAACCCCCAAAAUCUGAUACAGUCGCGUUUCAGUUUCUGCCACAGUUUAGAAAAUGGAUUCAAUAAAUCAAAGCAUUUCUUCAUCUGAAUCCAAUUCUUCGCACAAAAGGUACAUUUGACAUAAACUACAAGACAUAGGAGCAACAGGCUCCAAUGACGAUCAAUGAAGCACUGAUUCACACUGAGAUCAGUAGUUUGUAUUCUGCUGUCCACUGUGUUAUGACUGAUUAGUCGUGUUCAUAUACUUGGUUGAAAGUUGUAUUAUUUGAAUGUAAAAUGAGUUUUUGCUGCAUAUUUCCAGUGUUUUGACACGGUUAGAGCCUUCAGCAAACAAAGCGUGCCAUUAUGACAUUGGAGCUGCUGUUUAGACCUGUGAGUGAACUGUUAAGAGAAAAGUGUUGUUUCACUGGACGGCUGCAUACCUCAAUAAUAGAUAUUAGAGUUUGAUUCUGCAGUGGAUCACAGCAUUUCACAACAUCUCUAUGUUCACUCUAACUCAAAGAGAGAGGCUCCACAGGCGUAGCUGGGGUCAAAGGGCGUUAGAGGCUGGCCUGAGACACACCUGAUGGAUCAUUGGAAACUGCUACAGUACGUUGAAGUCGCAGUUUAACCCGUCUCACCUCCGGCUCCUCCACCGGAGGCGUCUGUACAGGUGGAGGAAGCGAGGACGGCUCUAUCCCGAAGCCGCAUUCCUCCAGCGAGGCCGACUGACUGAUGUGCAGCAAACGGAGGCCUUUGAUGUCGAAGUUGUUGCGCUAACUGGUGUCUUCCGUUGUAUCGUUCAGCCCAGAACUGAACACAACCGCCUGCCAGUCAAACGUCAUUUAGCCUGAAGCAGACGAUGGCCUAUAGAUGGAGAAAAUGGCACAUUUAAUGUGGCUGUUAAUGUAACCUCUGCUUGGCCUAUGUGUGUUUCUGCCAUUUUCCACAUGUAAAUAAACAAAGUCUCUGGAGCAGUGUGAAUCCAUGGCCACAUCACACUCAGAAUCAAAAUCAGCUGAGUCUUUGUAUGAGUGAGUGGAAGAAGGAGUGGUGGGUGGGCGUGAGACACGGCAGCGCUCCUUUGAAAGCGAUCUUUCCAAUUUCAGAUCCUUUUUUGUUCAUACAGUAUAUUUGGAAUUAUGUAAUAUUGAUGUUGCUAUCUGACUUGUUCAUUUGAGAGCUCAAAAAAAAAAAAAAAACGACAACUAAUUAUUAUUGUCACAUUUCACUCUCAAAUUCAAAUAGUUAGUGAAAAAUAGUCCUAAUGGCAGCAGGAAACCUGGACGCUGCUGCCGAAGGAAUGAAUAAGUGAAAAGGCUUGGAGGUAGGUGGAGGUCUGCAGCGUGAGCUCAGGGCGUCCUCUCUCCAACCAGGGUCAAACUGAGAGCGACAGUAGCUGCGCUGAAAUCCCAUUUCCUGCCGUGACCACCCACACUACAUGUAGAUAGAAACGUGGAUCAACGCCUUCAUCAGACGCUGUCCUGAGCGAGGCCUUCUCCUGUGUCAGCAUUAGCAUUACGAGGCAUCAACCAUCUCUGUUAUUCCCACGCAUGCUCCAAGGGAAGCGGUAUUCUCAUCAGGCCAACCGCCGCUCACCUCCGUAAUCGCCGCUAACUCGGAGGUAAUUCAACACCUCCGUAGAAACGCGGACGAUGACAUACCACAUGUGUUUCAGCUUGUUUCCCAGGCUGUUUUUAGAUGUGUUAUGGUUGUGGGCAUCCGUCAUAAUGCCAAGGUCAUGGCUUCUAGAUGGCUUUUCCACUAUUAGACCUCAUUAUAGCUCAUUAGGCCUCAGCUGCUUGUCUCUUCGCCCCUCGUAACACGCUCAUGCACACAUUUAUACACAUUUAAGCCUCGCCCGGGACGGACAGAUGGACAGUCGCACAUGUGCACCCGUACGAUACACGAACACCAACGCAGCCACGCCCGGCCCAAGCGGCGAAUAGCGGCGGCUGAGUGUUCCUAGAAACUGGUGUUGGGUAAAUAGAGAAGCUGGGAGCUAGUGCAGCAGGUGGUCCGAGUUCAGGUCCCACUGGAUGCAUUCCGCCCGGUCCCAACCGCAGGCCGAGGUAGCGCUGAGGUCUGGAAAACAAGUUCAUCAACAGCUCCUGCACUGGGAGCGUGUGUGUGUGUGUGUGUGUGUGUGUGUGUGUGUGUGUGUGUGUGUGUGUCUGUGAGCCAAGGAUCUGUCACAGAGCAGUCAGGCUUCUCUUGUCCCGCCUCUUCUCAAGCAGUGAAGUCCUCCAUCAGAGCUGACCCCUCUGUCCACGUGGGGCUCUGGCUCCUGCCAUUUAAAACAACCGCAUCGUUCCAUCAGCUUUCUACACAUGUUUAGUAAAGACCAAAUAAAACAAUGACGACGGUUCAUGGAAAAAAUUUAAUCUCCGGUGUCUGCAAUCGUGGUUUUCUGUGAAUUGGCUACUAACAAACAAAUGAUCACACAGAUCAGAAUGAAUACGUAAAAUGAUUACCUUCCUUUCCUUUACACUGGCUUCUGUUACAGGCAUUUCAUGUCACAGCUAAAAUCUCUGUCGACAGCUUCUCUAACUGUAACAAACACUUGGCUCCUUGAACGGACCUGCUCGUGCGAAUUGACUUCCUGAUGGAAACCCACAUCUCCUGUCGUUAGGGGUCGUAACUUUUGGAAAUCAGAAUACUGAGCAUAAAUAUUUUAAAUGGCACACUGUAAAACUGUGCAACAGUAUUUAAACCUUUCAAGGCUAAUGCCAUCACCACAGGGAUGUAAAGCUCAGACGGGUAAGUGGCCCAGAUAAUAACGUCCACCAUUAACUAGUCAAAUGCUUCACAAUGUGUAACAUUAUUCCUCUCUGAGGUUCAAGGUCAGUGCCUUGGAUUAAAAUGACAGACGGUGCUGACAUCCCCUUAGACACAGUUUUGUGUUGCUGUACCAGAGCAUAUGGUUCAAUAACAAAUUCAACUUUUAGCUUUGAUGACAUUUUAACAUUAUGAUAAAUAAUUAAGUAGCGCUAAUUUUCAGUCAAACAUGUUUUAAUUUGUAGCAAGCUGCGAAGUGGUGAAACCCAUUUAUGCGUUUGCAUGAUUAAUUUAACUCUUUAGCACUAAUCUCUUAAAAAAUAGUUCAUAGCCCAUGUUUAUGUUAAGAAUGCUCUACAACAAAUAUAUUUCUAUUAGUAUACAGUGUAUAUGCAGUGUGCCUCAUUUCAGCACUGUCAAAAAUGGGAGCAAUACUUGGAAGGAUGGUGGCUGGGGUCCAUUCUUCAUGGCACAAGCAUAGUUUUAGGAGGGAUUGGUUCCUUGUUACUGGAAUAAUUAAGAACUGAAAGCUGACACAGCGUGAGACGCUGCCUGUUAAAAUCCCACAGUCGACACUGUGGGAUCCAAAUUAGCUCCACUCUGAACAUAUUGACCAGCUGCUUCUCCAACACCUGCGAUGGUUUUACAGAUGCCCCCUACUGUACAAUACUCACUGCACUGAGAGGCUGCUGCAGAAUGUAAUCAAGCUGUUAUGAUACAGGGAUGCAAAGUGUGGAACUAUGGAGGAGAAUAAAGAUUCAAUGAUGCAAAUCACACUUUGCUUAUUGGCAACAGCUGUUUCUGCAAGCAGCCAUGAAAGCAGUUUGACAGUGAAGGUGCAUCGUUAGUCUAUACGUCCUCGAUCCCACAUCACACACGUUUUUUUAUGCUAAACAACCAAACCUGUAUGUUCAGGUUUAGUUGUUUAGCAAGAAGCUUGUUGUCCAGGAAACCGGGCUGGAUGUUCUCUGCGCGUGCAUAGUUGUAUAGAUUGAUAUCACCUCCCCACAACACACAACUGGUAUUGUGCCUUUUUGCUCCUCCGUCUCCCCACCCGUCACCGUGGAGCAUCAGAUAUGAGCCUGGACUAUUUAUGAGGUUACAAUGCUGCUGUCAGGGUCACUAAGAUUAAUGAAGGCUGUGUCUUGGCUGUGUCUUUGAUGGGUCACCUCCACUGCUACAGACGCUGUUAACGUCAGACCUCGGCACAAGUUGUCAGUUUGAUCUGAUGAGAUGAUACAUGGGUUAAAAAAACUCAUUGAUAAUUUAGACUUCUUUGAUCUAGGCCCAGUUCUUUACUUUUAGGAAUGAGCAGAAAAGGAGAUGUGCUGCUCCCCGUGAUAGUCGGGAACAGCAUGAAGCACAGAUAACACAGAUCUGUGCAGCGAUGCCAAUCAGUGGAACCUGCUCUGUUGACGUCACAUCCAAAAGACUCUGAGCUACUGGAAUGUGAAGCUUUUAUCUGUCUUGGCCACACGUCCGUGCUGUGCGAGCUUCGAGAAGCCACCGGGACGCUAACAUCUGAUAGCGCCGGAGCAGCGCUAUAAAUCAGACAGCGUUUCUAGCGGCUGACCGCACAAUGGCAGACGCGCCGCGAACCUUCUCGCUUCUCUGUGAACUCGCCCGGAGGUGGAGAUAUCAGAUGUUGUUCGUCCUAUGGGAUACACGUGGAGCCACCGAUGUCGGCCCGACGGCUCAUCACAUGAGUGAUGGCAACUUUAGAAAAGAAUGGAUCACCUGCUGGGUAGCAACAAAGGCCUCGCCUUGUGUUUCACACUGGGAUUAUGUAAAGCACUGCAGGGGAAGGAACCUCUAACACAACAACACUGGUACUGAUGUAAACCUAUGAAGGCUAGCGAUUACAUCACUCAGCAGUUUGCUAUGUUUAACAUUAUCGGACCAGUAAAGUACAGUAAAUGACACGUAUUUCUAAUGUUCCAGACGACAACAACACCAUGAUUUUACAAAGCAUCAACACGACAAACAAAUGCAGAACUGAAUCAGGUUUUUUUUACAUAAAAACAUUUCAGUAUUUUAAUAAAACAAAAGCAUUGCACUAAAAUCCAUUUAAUUGUGAUUAUUUUGGUUUUAUAACUAUAAUGUUGAAGGCCAUUCUAGACAUUUUUAAUAAAUUCUAAAAUGAAAAAUCAGGCAUAAACGUUGACUAAAAGCAGCAUUUGACAGUUGGAGCUGGGCUCAAACAUCUUGUUUGAUAAGAAAAAUAUUUUUUAUCUAUGGUGGUCUGUGGUGAAAAUAUAUCUAGUAGGAAUCAAUUCUGUAAGUAAGCCUUUGUAUUGGUGAUAUUUGACUGAGAAGCCUAUUUACAGACAAACUGCUGAGAGUUGGAUGUCAGAGAGUGGCAUGUUUGGCGAUAAGAAAGAAACACUAGGCCAACACCUCCUUGUCACAGUAGGUGUCAGUGAUAUUUCUUAUCUUGUGAAAGUGCUUGUUGAAAGGAUCUUGUACACCUGUGGCAUAAAAGCACAAUUUAACACCUUUGAAACUUUAUUUUUCAACACUUGCACUAAUCGUUUUAGUGAAAUGACACCGUGGACUUUUGUUUCCUGCUAAAGUUAAAGUUAGACACAGCUACAUUUUCCAGAUCUGUGCUCGAAGUGAUAUAGCAACUCGUAUGUGCGAGUGUUCAUUCAACCUGCGUGUUAAGUGCAAGUGUUUGAGUGUGUGUGUGUGUGUGUGCAUGAGUGUGUGCGUGUGCGUGCGUGUGUGUGUGUGUGUGUGUGUGUGUGUGUGUGUGUGUGUGUGUGUGUGUGUGUGAGUCUGUGUGUGCAUGCGUGUGUCUGUUUGUGUGCGUGCGUGUGCGGCAGCUUAGCGGGUGUGAGAUGACUAUCUGAGGCCAUACAUCAGGCCCGGUGUAAUUAUCAGGUCUCAAUGGGCUGCUGUGUUAUUUCUGCCCAGGGUGAGAUGCUUAUCUGGCCCUGUCAGCAGCCACCUGGAUGGAUGAGCCUGGGUCCUCGGAGCAGUGGCUCACCUUCCUCCUGCACCAAAGACAAACCCUCCAACUUCUCUUUGCAGACCGCGGCCGCCUCUGCUGCAGUGCUGAGCACAUCGAUGCUGCCACAGCUGAAAAUUCGCUGACCUUACUAGAUUUUUACUGAUAAACCUUCAUGUCAAAUUCUCUAGCUAAUUUACAUUAUCUACUGUACGUCUAUAAAUUAUUGUUGCCUAACCGUAUUGAAAAUGUAUUUUAUUGUGUAGUUACUUUUGGUACCAGAGGGAAAUGUAAACUACGUGGCAGCCAUAUUUAAUUUCUACAGUUUUCAUGUAAAUGCCAAUAAAUAUAAUAUUUGUAUUAUGAAUGUGUUGUGUUUAUUGUUUUAUGGGACCUGCUACAGUAUAGACUUGACUUCAGCCAACAUCAACCCUACGAAUCUUCAGAAGCCAUGUUGUUUACAGCCUCUUCUCUUCUCAUUGCUUUUCACUAAGGCGUUUUUUAUAAAUACUGCA
Molecule: long non-coding RNA, 12960 nt
Organism: Betta splendens (Siamese fighting fish)
Lineage: Eukaryota; Metazoa; Chordata; Actinopteri; Anabantiformes; Osphronemidae
Exons: 4
Source: RefSeq, a predicted model, not a curated record